RNAcentral lists this transfer RNA (91 nucleotides) under Gammaproteobacteria bacterium. RNAcentral describes it as "tRNA-Ser". It matches the Rfam family "tRNA". From Rfam's summary of the family: Transfer RNA (tRNA) molecules are approximately 80 nucleotides in length. Their secondary structure includes four short double-helical elements and three loops (D, anti-codon, and T loops). Lineage: Bacteria; Pseudomonadati; Pseudomonadota; Gammaproteobacteria. The record is from RNAcentral. RNAcentral also lists the same sequence under 1 other name.
GGAGAGGUGGCCGAGCGGUCGAAGGCGCCUGACCGGAAAUCAGGUAUGCGGUAACACCGUAUCGUGGGUUCGAAUCCCACCCUCUCCGCCA